This is an RNA transcript of Raphanus sativus (radish), 1752 nucleotides long. It is a transcript of the gene named outer mitochondrial transmembrane helix translocase, with no coding region annotated. NCBI's taxonomy places the organism in Eukaryota, Viridiplantae, Streptophyta, Magnoliopsida, Brassicales, Brassicaceae. The record is from RefSeq and is a predicted model, not a curated record. The transcript has 8 exons.
GUUGCAGUUGUAUAAAAAAAAUUAAUAAGUGAAUAACGCAGAGAAUAAACUGACUUUUCAGUGAAAUCAUUCAUACAUUCAUUCCUUCCGAAAUCUCGAGAUUGGUUUUUAGAGAUGGUGGAGACGAGGCGUAGCUCUUGGGCGUCAAAGCGGCUCUCUUCUUCUUCUUCUCCUCCUCCAGAAACUUGACCAUCACGGCCUACCAAACGAUCCAAGAAACCUUAGAAGGCUAAACCGGAGAGUGAGGUUCCGAUUGUAAAUCAAAUUCCGGUUCCCAAGUCCGGAGAGCUUCUGAUCCCAAGAUUAGUAGUGAUUUAAUCCGCAAGUCCAAGGCUUUUUGCAUGUUGCAAUUGUUAUCCUUCUUAAAAGUUAUUUUUUGGUCUUUUUGCUCAUAUGUUUUCCCGCUAGGUGAAGAACUUGUGUCUGAAUCUGACAAGUCGAAAUGGACUAAAAGGCUCCUUGUGAGUGUGUGUCUGGUUUCAUACCUUGUUUGCAUGUUGGUGUUCAGUUAAUUGAGUCGAGUGGGGAUUUAGCCGACAAUGUACGUUAGUUGAUCUAGUGUGGGGAUUUUUUCAACGAUUACUUGUCUUGUUUCUAACCCUCCUGCUGAAUAAUUACUUGCGUUUUCACAACCCUCAUCGUGAGAGGCUCUGUGUUUACUGUUGGACGAAGAGGAUGAUGCGAUUUGUCUAUCAAAGAUCAGUCCAUGCCCAGUCUUCUUUCUGAACUGAGGCAGUCUCAGCAGCAUCACAUAUGGCCUGCAGGUGUUGGAUGGGAUUCAAAACGAAAACAAGAGCACAAAGAAAUCUCUCAAAGAUGUUGUUACUGAGAAUGAAUUCGAAAAAAGACUAUUAUCAGUCGUCAUUCCUCCAAGGGAUAUUGGUGUUUCGUUUGAUGAUAUUGGAGCUUUGGUAAAUGUGAAAGACACCUUGAAGGAGUUGGUGAUGCUUCCUCUUCUGAGACCUGAAUUGUUUGGCAAAGGCCAGCUUACAAAGCCUACAAAGGGUAUACUGUUGUUUGGAUCGCCUGGUACAGGGAAGACGAUGCUGGCAAAGGCGGUGGCAACAGAGGCUGGCCAAGUGGUUUGGUGAGGGAGAGAAGUAUGUAAAAGCUGUUUUCUCUUUAGCAAGUAAGAUAGCUCCAAGUGUUAUUUUUGUUGAUUGAGGUUGAUAGCAUGUUGGGAAGACGCGAGAAUCCAGGGGAACAUGAAGCUAUGCGUAAAGAUGAAGAACGAGUUCAUGAUAAACUGGGACGGCUUACGCACAAAGGAUAAAGAAAGAGUGUUAGUACUAGCUGCUACAAACAGGACAUUUGUUUGACUCGCAGGAGAGAAGUGUGGCUCAAGCCGAAAACCGACCAAUGCCCCAAUUGUAUAGUAGUACAGACAUUAGACCCUUGAACAUGAAUGAUUUCAAGACCGCACAUGAACAGGUAUGUGCUAGUGUGUCCACUGAUUCAUCGAACAUGAACGAGCUGCAGCAAUGGAACGAGCUAUAUGGAGAAGGGGGGUCAAGGAAGAAGACAUCACUGAGCUACUUCAUGUAAAGAGAAACAGAGAGGUUGUGUACAGAGAGAAGUCAUUUAUUUACAGAGAGAAGAGUUAUUUAUUUACAGAGAGAAGAGUCAUUUAUUUUUAUUUCUCUAAAUCCUCUGAGAGAUUGAUGUACAAUCUAUUUGUAGAUGCUCUUAUGUACUCCAUAUACAGAAGGAUUAGGUAUCUUACUGCUAAUUUUAUUUAAAUUUAUGGGUAAA